UGGGGAAUAUUGGACAAUGGGCGAAAGCCUGAUCCAGCCAUGCCGCGUGUGUGAAGAAGGUCUUCGGAUUGUAAAGCACUUUAAGCUGGGAGGAAGGGCAGUAAGCGAAUACCUUGCUGUUUUGACGUUACCGACAGAAUAAGCACCGGCUAACUCUGUGCCAGCAGCCGCGGUAAUACAGAGGGUGCAAGCGUUAAUCGGAAUUACUGGGCGUAAAGCGCGCGUAGGUGGUUCGUUAAGUUGGAUGUGAAAGCCCCGGGCUCAACCUGGGAACGGCAUCCAAAACUGGCGAGCUAGAGUAGGGCAGAGGGUGGUGGAAUUUCCUGUGUAGCGGUGAAAUGCGUAGAUAUAGGAAGGAACACCAGUGGCGAAGGCGACCACCUGGGCUCAUACUGACACUGAGGUGCGAAAGCGUGGGGAGCAAACAGG
This 429-nucleotide ribosomal RNA is filed under the name Pseudomonadota bacterium. RNAcentral's name for it is "Proteobacteria bacterium partial 16S ribosomal RNA". It matches the Rfam family "Bacterial small subunit ribosomal RNA", at positions 355 to 776 of the family's 1533-position model. Lineage: Bacteria; Pseudomonadati; Pseudomonadota. The record is from RNAcentral.